UGGGGAAUAUUGGACAAUGGGCGGAAGCCUGAUCCAGCAAUACCGCGUGUGUGAAGAAGGCCUGAGGGUUGUAAAGCACUUUUAAUCGGGAGGAACACCUGGUGGCCAAUACCUGCCAGACUGACAUUACCGAUAGAAAAAGCACCGGCUAACUCCGUGCCAGCAGCCGCGGUAAUACGGAGGGUGCGAGCGUUAAUCGGAAUUACUGGGCGUAAAGCGUGCGUAGGCGGCCUGUUAAGUCAGAUGUGAAAGCCCUGGGCUUAACCUGGGAACGGCAUUUGAAACUGGGGGGCUAGAGUUGAGGAGAGGGGAGUGGAAUUUCAGGUGUAGCGGUGAAAUGCGUAGAGAUCUGAAGGAACAUCAGUGGCGAAGGCGGCUCCCUGGCCUCAAACUGACGCUG
Molecule: ribosomal RNA, 400 nt
Filed under: uncultured bacterium
Lineage: Bacteria
Description: bacterial SSU rRNA
Rfam family: Bacterial small subunit ribosomal RNA
Source: RNAcentral